Molecule: non-coding RNA, 107 nt
Organism: Gossypium arboreum
Lineage: Eukaryota; Viridiplantae; Streptophyta; Magnoliopsida; Malvales; Malvaceae
Source: Rfam
AACCCAUGGUGAAGGCACUUUCUUAAUCAAUCCUAGUAUCUCUCCUAUGCAUCCUAUAGUGUUUCUAAAUCCAUCUACACAAAAGAAGAGAUAUCAUUCCAUAAUUU